CCUACGGGAGGCAGCAGUGGGGAAUAUUGGGCAAUGGAGGCAACUCUGACCCAGCAACGCCGCGUGAAUGAUGAAGGUCUUCGGAUUGUAAAGUUCUGUGAUGGGGGAUGAACACAAUGACGGUACCCCAAUAGCAAGCCACGGCUAACUACGUGCCAGCAGCCGCGGUAAUACGUAGGUGGCAAGCGUUAUCCGGAAUGACUGGGGGUAAAGGGUGCGUAGGUUGUUUAGUAAGUUGGCGGUGUAAUUCCGGGGCUCAACCUCGGCGCUACCGCCAAAACUAGUAGACUAGAGUGCAGGGGGGGUAAGUGGAAUUCCUGGUGUAGCGGUGGAAUGCGUAGAUAUUAGGAGGAACAUCAGGGGCGAAGGCGACUUACUGGACUGUAACUGACGCUGAGGCACGAAAGCGUGGGGAGCAAACAGGAUUAGAUACCCCAGUAGUC
Molecule: ribosomal RNA, 443 nt
Filed under: uncultured bacterium
Lineage: Bacteria
Description: partial 16S ribosomal RNA
Rfam family: Bacterial small subunit ribosomal RNA
Source: RNAcentral